This 2425-nucleotide unclassified non-coding RNA is filed under the name Hevea brasiliensis (rubber tree). Lineage: Eukaryota; Viridiplantae; Streptophyta; Magnoliopsida; Malpighiales; Euphorbiaceae. The record is from RNAcentral.
CGCAUUCAGAAAAUAGAUCAUUAGAAGUGUUAAACUGGAGCUACAAUAAUUGCCAUCGUCAAAUUAACUUAACUUUCUCGUCUUCAAUUAUUUUUUUAGGCAAAUAGAUACUUUAGGGGUGAGCAUAGAGCAGUUUUAAUUGAAAAAUCAUAUUGAACUGAUUUAAUUGCGAAUUGAAUGGACUGAUUGGACAACCCUGCUUUCAAUAAAAGGAGACUUCGCCUUUUGUUGUUGAAGCAAGUAUUCUUUUUACCUUUUGCUUGUAAUAUUGUGCAAGGGGAAAAGAUUAAAAUAGUUUCUUCACUUGAAUUCAAACUCCAGGAGCGUCUGCCUUUCAUUGCUAACUGCAUUUUUCACCAGUAAUCCAUGCAAGAACAGGCACCUCCUUUAAAAUGAUGGAACCUUUUCCUGUCUCUUACAAUCAACUCUCGUUCAUAAACCUUAGAAAUCAGCUUUGUAGCUGUGUGGCAAUCUUCACAUACUCGCAAGUUCUUCACUAUCCGAAUGGUGGUACGAGCUUUAGUUCUCAUAAUCCCAUAUGCUAUAGCGAGUUUCUCACUGUGCCUGUGCAGGGCAUUUUCUUUUUCUUCUUCAUCUAUGUCAAACAUUGCAUCAGUAGUGUUUCCAGUGUAUCCUACUGGUCUUAUCUUCUUAAGAAUCUCUUCCCACAUUCUUUCUAUCUUCUCUAUUUCUGGGUGUGUUUUGUCUCCUAUGGUAAAAUUAUGAACCUCCCCAUCCAUCUCAAUCUGACUGUAUCCAGGUGGUUUCUUUAUUUUUCUUUCCUUCAUCAUCUGUCUCAUGCUUUCGACAUUCUCCCACUUGUUUGUGCGAGCAUAAAUGUUUGAAAGCAGCACGUAGUAGCCACUAUGUUCUGGUUGUAACUCGAUCAAAAUCUUUCCCACUCUUUCCCCAAUUUCUGCAUUUUUGUAUGUCCCGCAAGCUCUAAGCAAUGCUCCCCAAAUUGGUGCACUAGGCUUCACCGGCAUUUCAAGGGCAAACUUCUCAGCUUCUGCUAACUUCCCUGCUCGGCCUAACAGAUCAACCAUGCACCCAUAGUGUUCCAAUCCAGGCUCAAUCCCAUAGUCUCUUUUCAUGCUUUCAAAUAUCUCCAUCCCUCUUUCAACCAAUCCUCUAUGACUGCAAGCCGAUAAAACUGCAGUAAAGGUGAUGUCUCUUGGGGUUAGCCCACUCUUUAUCAUUUCUGAGAAAUACUGAACUGCUUUCUCUGCAUGACCAUGCAUUGCAAAUCCAGCAAUAAGGGCAGUCCAGCUUAAGGCAUCCCCCUCCGGAAGUUUCUCAAAUACCUGAACAGCUUUAUCAAUACUUCCACAUCUAGCAUACAUAUCAAUUAGGGCAGUACCAAGUAUCAAAUUGAAAGUCAUCUUAUUUCUCACCACAUAAUCAUGAGCUCUUUCUCCCAAUUCAAGGGCACCUAAGUGAGCACAUGAAGAUAUUACACUAACCAUUACCGUCUCAUUUGCUUGAACCCCUUCAGAUUGAAGAACUUGAUACAAUUCUAUUGCCUUGUCAAAUAAAUUGUUCUUGGCAUAACCACUGAUCAUUAUACUCCAUGUAACCAAGUUCUUCUCUGGCAUUCUGUCGAACAGUUUGCGUGCUGACUCAACAUCUCCUGAUUUAUUAUAACCUGCUAUCAUUGAAGUCCAAGAAACAACAUCUAACCGAGACAUUGUUCGAAAGAUAUAGCUUGCAGCCUUUAUAUCCCCAAGUGUAGCAUACAUGUUAACAAGUGAGCUUUGCACAUAAACAUCAUUUUCAAAUCCAUGCCUAAUUACUUGGCCAUGGGCUUGAAUUCCCAUAUCCAAGGACCCCAACUGAGUACAUGACUUGACUAAAAAUGGGCAAGUAAGAUUAUCAGGAAAUAUACCUACCCUUUGCGAUUGGACAUAGAAAUGGAAGGACUGAUCUGGGCUUUUGCUUCCUGAAUAACCCCUGAUAAAUGCAUUGUAAAUAAAGAGAUUGGGGUUUUGGAUUUGGUAAAAGACCUGUAAUGCAUAAUCUAGCAAGUUAUUGUCUAUGCUAAAAGCAAUUAACCGACUAGCUGCAAAUACAUCAAAGAUGCUGUGGGUUCUUAUCAUAUGGGCAUGGAUGAUUUUCAGCUGUAAGAGGGUAGAGCAAGAUUCUAGCAGCAAAAGUUUUGGAUUCUUUAGCUUUAGCGUUCUUGAAACUAAGCUGCUACUGCUACUGCUGCUCAUCUUCAGAAAGUAAAAUAUUCAUGUUUCUGACACCACAAAAGCUGCAUGUUACUUUAAAUUUCCUGCCAACCCUCUAAUUCGUACGUUCUGCUUGUAUAGAAGACUACUGAAAGCGUGGGCCUGGGCUGCUAGAGAAGCUAUGUUAGCAUGAGCAGAAGCCGGGGUGCCCAUGCCUGCCUAUAAGAAGCCAGAACCGUUUGAAUCCAGUCCUG